AACCUUCAUUUCUCCUUACCCUAGCAAGGGUUGAAGUUUGGCAGCAUACUGAUGAAAAAAGAAAUUACGUGAGUGGCAGAAAAGACAAGAGUGAUCCUAGCACGGUUGGCUAGGCACAGAGAGAUGAUACACAAUGACUUCAUUAAAAUUUCUUUCCUGCCAAAGGGAUGCAAUAAGAUGGGUAGAGGAUGUUUUCAUUUCAACAUAUAUGCUAAUUGCCACUCUACUCUCAGGAAAACAUCACAUGAAGAAAAUGCAGCCUUCAUUGAAGACCAGGGAAGACUGUUCUGAAUUCCUGAGCUUCAUGAAAGACUCUGGGGGUAGUUUGUUAUUCUUUUAACCUUAAUGGAACUUUUGUACUUGGGAAAUGUUUCAUGGCUACGUGUUCCUUCAUGCUCCCACUUCAAGGAAGACCUCCUAACCCCCCCUAGUCACUCUAAACCCCUGCCUGCCACUUCCAUGAUUUCCCUGCUGGUGAAAAGCAGAUCCAGAAAAGCCUGCCUUCCAGAUGUGUUUUCUAAAAUUAACCCACAACACCUGCUGGGAAGUCUGGUUGAGAUUCUUCAAACCCAACAGAGAUUCAUGUUGCAAUACAAAACGACAGGGAGAACAAAGCAUGGUGGUUGCCUGCAGGUAUCACCUUCUCAGCAUUGCUGUCCAUCAGGCAGAGAAGGUUAAGACCUCACCAGGUUCUCUGAGCUUACACAAGCCACGUUCAAGGGAAGUGAGAGCCAAAAGCCAUUACAGCAUUGAUCCCAAGGCUGUUGUCAGUGUUGGAACAGGUCCCAGCUGAAUGUUAAUUUCUUCUUAGCACAAGGACUCACAUCUUGGGAACAAAACCAAAUGCUGUCAGACUUUGGAACAGUAUGGCCACAGGAUGGAAAGUUGAACAUCUCUCUACUACAGACUCAAGCUGGAUGAUUUAUGAGCCAUGUGUGGGCUGCACUCCCCCCAGGAAGAAACGCGGGUGUUUCUGCUGACUCAGUCCUAGCCAGAGUCCCCUGAACGCGCUGGAGCCACCUGAUUCUUGGAGAGCCUGGAAGUCAUUUCCAGCCUAGUGUGUUUCAUUUUGAAGUUUAGUCAAACGGCGCAGCCAGAUGGAGCAGUAGAUUGUCCUGGAGAAAACAACAUCUCAAAGUGGAACUUUAAAUAAAAUAGAGAGAGAAAACUAGGAAAAGAGGGAGGAGGCUAACUUUGACAUGUCCCUAGAGAAGCAAAAACUUUAUCUCAAAUGCCAGAGUGAUGUGAGCAGCUGGAAGGACAGGAUUCGAGGACUGAACUUUUGGGUGGAGUUUUGGGGGUCAAAGGAAUAUUUCUGCAAGCCACUCCACCUGUCAGCAACCAGUCUGAACCCACCUGCCUUUCUACUGGGAGUGCCCUGAAAACUUCAUGUUAGCCUUUUCUAAACUGCACUUCAGCUCUUCUGACACCACACUCGAGCCACAAUCUUGGAGCUUCUGCCAUUAAUACAUUAAGCAGCUUCUUGGAUUUGAUGGCCGGGAGGGCCCACAAGGACCAGCGAGGAUAGCUGGUGGGUUCCUGUCCACUCUAACAGAAUUCUUCUUUGAAUUCUUGCCUGCCCCUUACAAAAACCUAGAUUUAAAAAAUUCCCACAUGGGGAGGAUUCACCAGUAGCCUUGACACGUUGUACCAGGUAUUAGUUAUCCUUGCUGUUAAAAUAUGUCCAGUCUAUUUGAUAACUUGUCUGUAAGCUGUUUCCAACCUGCCACAAGUAGAUGCUUGCCCUUUUGCUUCAGAGUUGAAGAAAGGAGUCAACCUGAGAAGUGGCCACAUUUUCCUACCUCCAUGUCAACUUCUCUGCUUGGGCAUUGCCACCUUCAUUCAGCCUCAUCCAGGGAGAAAACUCCUUAGAGGCAGGGAUGGACCUGCCUCCUGAGGUGUGCUGUGGCACCUGAGUGACAUGGCCCAGUGCAACAUCAGACAAAUACUCCAAACAAUUCUGAAUUACCCACCAGCUUAUUUAUCAGGAGCAAUAUUAUUCUAACACAGUGCUACCUCCACCUAAGUCACCUGCCCAUAAAGUUUCCUAUAGACAAGCUAAGCUUACAGCCCACUGCCCCGCUUGCUGGGUCAUCAGGGUGAGCUGGGCAGGAGGCAAAGCGUGAAGGGGUACUUUGGGUGGUGCUCACCGUGGCUGCACACAAGACGAAGUGCAGAGAGUGAAUGCUGCCUUACAGCAUGCCAGAAGGAGCAGUCAGGGGAACAUCUGGAAAGAGGUAGGAACUGAGGAGCAGUGGGAUCCAUUCUAGGACAUGGCACACUGCUUACACUGGCAGCAUUCAGAUAGCCUCCAUAAAGGGCAUCUUUUCAGCUCUGCAGAGCCCGUUUGAGUGAAUAAUAGUAGGUUUUUUUCUAUUUGUUUUUAUCUUGUGUAACUGGAUUUUUAACUAGUUGUAAGUAUAUCUGUUUACUGAAGCCUGUCUUCUAAAAGAAUAAUUUAUCUGUAUUAAACUUCCUUCAGUGCUUAGCCAAUGGGUCUAAUUUGGCCACAUAUAUUUUCAGACACUCUCAAUGUUUAUUUUACAGAGCUAUAUGUUUGCAGAUCCUAUUUUACUGUCUAACAGCACUGGAUCUUAUCCAUCUCUCUCGUCAUCUCAUUUUUUCUCCGAAAAACUCACUGUACAAUUUCCAAAUUCCUAAUUUCAUCCUGAUGUAGUCAUUGCAAGGCUCCUGCUUGGGGAACAAUAAGAGAGUGAGUAAAAUUUCAAUACUUGUCCUGAAUGUUUGUAUUAGUGACUUCUGUAGUUUUUCCUCACUUUUAUACCAGCAAGGAUUACAAGCCUUUGCAUACUUCUUAUGCUGUGUAAAGACCUAGAUGCGUGAUCAAGUUACCAUGGUCUAAAUAAGUUACUACAGGUCAGCUGAGGAGUAGUAAUUACCUGCAUAUGUAGCAGAACUA
Molecule: long non-coding RNA, 2920 nt
Organism: Aquila chrysaetos chrysaetos
Lineage: Eukaryota; Metazoa; Chordata; Aves; Accipitriformes; Accipitridae
Exons: 7
Source: RefSeq, a predicted model, not a curated record